CAGAGAGAGAGAGAAGCCACAUUCCACCCUUAUCUGUUGUCUUGCACCAAACAGCACCCCGUACUGAGGAGGGAGAGAGAGCGUGUUCUCCUGAAGGAGGGAGAGAGUCACAGGGAGACACACAGUGGAUAUUCACAUUAUGGCUAAUUUGUUUAGUUUUAGUUUUGUUUUUUGUCUUCCUAGGACAACAGUUAUCAUUCAUGAUGAUGAACAUCGAAGUUCAUGAGGAGGUUAUAAGGACAAUAACGUUGAUACUGUUGUGUUCACAGCAGUUUGCUGUGUUUUUUCCACCUCCUGGGUCUGCCACUCCUCCUGUCUGUCUCACUUCACACCUGGACCUAUUCUGCAAUCAUGCUCACCUGGUCUUCAUCUCCAAUCAACUCCCCUUCAUAAACCCUUGGAUUCCCUGCUGUCGGUGCCAGAUCGUACUACGCACUACUGUGUUAUCCGGAUCCCUCACUCCAGCUCGCCUGCUUCGCUCCUUCCCCGGCAACCUCAUCCAAUACCCGCCUCCUCGCCUCGUUCAAUAAACCCUUUUUCCUUCAACUCAA
Gadus morhua (Atlantic cod) is the source of this 551-nucleotide long non-coding RNA. RefSeq lists it as uncharacterized. The transcript is spliced from 2 exons. The record is from RefSeq and is a predicted model, not a curated record. Lineage: Eukaryota; Metazoa; Chordata; Actinopteri; Gadiformes; Gadidae.